Molecule: long non-coding RNA, 1626 nt
Organism: Perognathus longimembris pacificus (Pacific pocket mouse)
Lineage: Eukaryota; Metazoa; Chordata; Mammalia; Rodentia; Heteromyidae
Exons: 3
Source: RefSeq, a predicted model, not a curated record
UCUAGGUCAGAAAUUAUUUUUAAAAGCACUUAAAAGCAGCAAUUCUUAAGAUAGUUGUAUAUUAGAAUCACUGACUAAAAUGCUUUGAAUCUAUGUUAUAGUUAGCUAAAUAAUCUGUUAAAUCACCAAAGGGAGAUACACAGACCAAGAUUUUUUAAGCAAGCAAGAAAGAUGAUGUGGAGUUAAAAACUGCCGUAUCAGUUACACAACCAAGUUUACUUAUGCCAGAAAAAAUACACCUGAUUCCAUUUCUCCUCUCUCUCUACCAUGACUCACAAAAAGCUUCGUAUGCUAAACUUUUACGAUGAUAUUAAGAUCCAUAUCACCCUAAAAGAUUAUUAUCUAUAAAGUUUUAUAUCACAACUUAGGGCAAGAAAUAUAUUGUAUAAAAAAUCUGUGUGUUCUACGCUAUUUACCUACAGAUACUAUGCACACAUAUGUACAUAUCAGAAAAAAAAAGUUUCAGGAAAUAAUGCUAACAUUUCUGGGUGAUGGGGUAGUACUUAAGUUUGACCUUAAGAGCCUUGUAUCACUUGAGCCAUGUCUCAACUGCUUAUUCUCACUAUGUGGAAAACACUACAAUACUUCUCAUCCUAGCCUACACUGAUUUACUUCCUUAUGUGUUCAAAUACUGGUCACAACCACAAUUUUAAAAUACUUAUUGAAAUUACUGCAAAUUUUCUAAUACACAGAUGACAAAUGGUGGCUACAGGAUUGCUGAUGAAUUGCUCAGAGAAUAAAGUUAAUACAUUUGUUUUUUUGAACUAGAAUGUAUAACUCAACUCCAAAUCUAUUCUGAUAGUCACUGAAAGAGCCUAACAAGAUGAAAAUCAGGCCACUUCACUAUUAAAUUCCUUAAUGCUUUUCAAAACUCCUCAAUCCUUAGCAGACAUACAACAAUAUUUAUUCAACUGUUUAAUCUUCAUUGUUAUAGUCCUUGCUUCAUAAAGCCCUUCUUAAAGCCCUUGCUGAACUUAAAAUACUGACUCCUGCCUUCAGUAUACUAUUUUCCUGCAUACUAGAGCUGGUACUCUGGAAAAUGAAAUCUUUCACUCUUGAGCUCCCUUACUUGAUCUGUUAAGUCCUGCUCCUCUUUCAGAAAGGUUCUUUCAUGAUCUAGAUGUCAUCUCUCCCAGACUCCAUUUUUUACCUCAAAAUGCAGGACAUUCCUCUGACCCUCUACUCAACUCUGCCUAUAUUCCCAUUCCAUAGUAUCCUAUAUAUUGCUGGUAGAGCUUUACUGUACUGUACAAUAGUUCAUUGUCUUUACCCUUUAUUAGACCAUGAGGUUCUUCACAGCAAGAACAGCAUCUUAUUAUGUCUGCAUAAACUGAAGGGUGAAUAAGUGACUGAGAUUAGUGACUAAAUUACCAAACAUAGACAUAGCACAAGAAAUUUUUGAGGAGGAAGUGAAACAUAACAUAUGGUCUGAAAUGCCUACAAUAAACAGAAGGAAUUAUCCCAAGAGGCAGCUAAAAAUAAUGUUAGAGGAAGAUAGAGAGUUUUAAUAAAUAAAAUGACACAAGCAUACAGACUUGCCAGGGGAACAAGAUACCAAAGGCUGAAACUGCAAUUAAAAAGUGGGGAGAAUGGAGAACUAGAUGAAACAAGAAAGGGUGCAGGGGG